GUGGGGGAUAUUGCACAAUGGGGGAAACCCUGAUGCAGCGACGCCGCGUGAGUGAAGAAGGUUUUCGGAUCGUAAAGCUCUGUUGUAAGAGAAGAACGUGUGUGAGAGUGGAAAGUUCACACAGUGACGGUAUCUUACCAGAAAGGGACGGCUAACUACGUGCCAGCAGCCGCGGUAAUACGUAGGUCCCGAGCGUUGUCCGGAUUUAUUGGGCGUAAAGCGAGCGCAGGCGGUUUGAUAAGUCUGAAGUAAAAGGCUGUGGCUUAACCAUAGUACGCUUUGGAAACUGUCAAACUUGAGUGCAGAAGGGGAGAGUGGAAUUCCAUGUGUAGCGGUGAAAUGCGUAGAUAUAUGGAGGAACACCGGUGGCGAAAGCGGCUCUCUGGUCUGUAACUGACGCUGAGGCUCGAAAGCGUGGGGAGCGAACAGGAUUAGAAACCCCAGUAGUCC
Molecule: ribosomal RNA, 450 nt
Filed under: uncultured bacterium
Lineage: Bacteria
Description: bacterial SSU rRNA
Rfam family: Bacterial small subunit ribosomal RNA
Source: RNAcentral